Molecule: long non-coding RNA, 1564 nt
Organism: Larimichthys crocea (large yellow croaker)
Lineage: Eukaryota; Metazoa; Chordata; Actinopteri; Sciaenidae
Exons: 2
Source: RefSeq, a predicted model, not a curated record
GGGAGGGAAGGAUGGAUGGAGUUAGAGCAUGGAGAGACUGUGGUCAUGCAUAGCGUUUGUGCUUUUGUUAUUUUCUUAAAUCAAAGUAACUGUGGGCAGUUUCCAUCUCAAGCACGGGAAAGUUGUGCUUUUAAUUAAAAAAGAUGAGAACAGAAAUGUUCACGGCUCGUUAGAAAGGGAGAACAUAACAAAAAUCACAUGGGAGCAGUUUGAGACCUGGACGUCCGACGCCACCUGCCCCCCCUCUGCGCCCCCAUCAAUGCAUAGCUGCGGUUGCAAAAGCCAGCCCCCGUCACUGCAUAUUUGUGCUACGUGGUCAUCGGUAAACACCCAUGUGAGAGCGCAGAGCUCCAGUGUGGGGUCAGCACAAGUCAGCGGGCCCUGCCUGCGUCCGACUCUCUCCGCCUGCGACGCUCCCCUGUGAUCGGACAUUUAACACCACCAGACAGUCUUAUCUGAAGGAACGUCCUUGCACAGUCUACCACAACAGCACCACUCCUCCGAGGCAGAUGGGAUGACGUGUGGAAUAACUGCAUGUGUUCCUGUCAGGGGCCUCACGUGAGGACACACAGCACGGUGGAAAAUGAUCAAAACUAACACAAUGAAGUCUUUGAAAGGCUUUUUGCUGAAUUAAAUAAAGACGACAGGAAGCGGCAUUUCAGAUAUUAAACACAACAUUUGAAUCAAACACUGACUGACUGCAGGAAUGUUAAGCAUUAUCAAUGAAGAUUCGGUGGAUUUAUUACCAAUGGAAGUCAAACAUGUAGACACCCUGAGACAAUAAAAGUCUCCAAUAACACAAUUCUCCCAGGGGUCACUCACAGGAUGAAAUCAAGACUCUGCAGCCAUGCCAGUGGCUGUGUGGGACUCUACUGCUUUGAGCUACAUGCUAACAUUGUGGGGAACAUGCCUAUGUGUAGCAGGUAUGACAUUUAUAAUGUUCACCAUCUUGUUUUAGGGUGUUAAGUAACACAAAGUACAGCUGGGGCUGACGGGAACGAAGAAUUAGUUUUACUGGUGUGGGGGUCAAUUUGUCAAAGUAUUGGACAAGCUUAUCCAUCCAUUUAUUGAUGAGACAUUUUUCAAUAAAUACCAAAACAGUGUUAACCUGCUAGUGGUGUCAGUGGAUCACCAAAGCCAACAGGGUUCAUCUUCUGGAGAGUAUGAAUGUACACAUUCAUAGCAAUCCAUCAAAGAAGUUAUUGAGUUUUUGUUUGUUGACAUCUGUUGUAAUAAAGAGCAAUGGCAUCUUAUUUUGACAAUGACAGACCACAUCUGAUUUUCUCCAAAGGGCCAUAUAUUGAACUUAUCUGACACUAUACGAGACUAUAUUUAGCUGACUUGAGUUUAUAUAGUGUGACAAAAUGGAGAUGAUGUAAAUUUUUUCAGUAAUCGAAAUUGAAAGUGAAUUUUUCUCCCUGUGAUGCAGUUUCAGCAACCUGCAGCACAAAGUUACACAGUGCAGAAACAGAUGUGCACGCUGCAGACACCAGUCACCUGAUUCAAAAUCACUGAUUUAAAAAUCUGCUAUUGUAGAAAGGAAAAUAAAUAUUUUAUAUUUGCA